GACUUCAAUUUAAUGAUUGUCUACCUAAUGCAGUUGACCUUUAUAAUGUCUAUCAGGAACAAGGUCAGGUAAACUAAAAGGCAGGUAUAAAGAAAGCUAAAACAGACUGGGAUUCAGCAAAAAAACAAAAAGGCAGGAACAGAGGCAGGAUGCUUUCAGAAACUGGCAGAAAAUCAACCAGCAACCUCAGCAGGGCAGGAGGCAAGCUCAGGCACAAUGUGGAAUCUCCUAUUGCUGACCCUCCUCCUCACAUUCAUAUGCAAUCACCAACUGGGACCUUGACUAGGACCAAUCACUGCUGUAAGCCUUAUAAGGGAAGUGACAUGAAUACAGGGAAACCUUGGAGGAAGAACAGGAUGGGAAGAUUCUGUAUUUUUCCAGAAUAAAAUUAGUGUAAGUUGUG
Long non-coding RNA from Pseudophryne corroboree (corroboree frog), 403 nucleotides. RefSeq lists it as uncharacterized. The record is from RefSeq and is a predicted model, not a curated record. NCBI's taxonomy places the organism in Eukaryota, Metazoa, Chordata, Amphibia, Anura, Myobatrachidae. The transcript has 2 exons.